UUGUUGGUAAGGUAAAAGCUUACCAAGGCUUCGAUCAGUAGCUGGUCUGAGAGGACGACCAGCCACACUGGGACUGAGACACGGCCCAGACUCCUACGGGAGGCAGCAGUGGGGAAUUUUGGACAAUGGGGGCAACCCUGAUCCAGCCAUGCCGCGUGAGUGAAGAAGGCCUUCGGGUUGUAAAGCUCUUUCAGCCGGAACGAAACGGUUACGGAUAACACCCGUGACUACUGACGGUACCGGAAGAAGAAGCACCGGCUAACUACGUGCCAGCAGCCGCGGUAAUACGUAGGGUGCGAGCGUUAAUCGGAAUUACUGGGCGUAAAGCGUGCGCAGGUGGUUUUGUAAGUCAGAUGUGAAAGCCCCGGGCUCAACCUGGGAACCGCGUUUGAAACUACAAGACUAGAGUGUGGCAGAGGGGGGUGGAAUUCCGCGUGUAGCAGUGAAAUGCGUAGAGAUGUGGAGGAACACCGAUGGCGAAGGCAGCCCCCUGGGUCAACACUGACGCUCAGGCACGAAAGCAUGGGGAGCAAACAGGAUUAGAUACCCUGGUAGUCCAUGCCCUAAACGAUGUCAACUAGUUGUCGGGCCUUUACGGGCUUGGUAACGUAGCUAACGCGUGAAGUUGACCGCCUGGGGAGUACGAUCGCAAGAUUAAAACUCAAAUGAAUUGACGGGGACCCGCACAAGCGGUGGAUUAUGUGGAUUAAUUCGAUGCAACGCGAAAAACCUUACCUACCCUUGACAUGUAUCGAAGCCCGCAGAAAAGCGGGGGUGCCCGAAAGGGAACGAUAACACAGGUGCUGCAUGGCUGUCGUCAGCUCGUGUCGUGAGAUGUUGGGUUAAGUCCCGCAACGAGCGCAACCCUUGUCAUUAAUUGCCAUCAUUUAGUUGGGCACUUUAAUGAGACUGCCGG
Molecule: ribosomal RNA, 916 nt
Filed under: uncultured bacterium
Lineage: Bacteria
Description: bacterial SSU rRNA
Rfam family: Bacterial small subunit ribosomal RNA
Source: RNAcentral